Molecule: long non-coding RNA, 392 nt
Filed under: Triticum aestivum (bread wheat)
Lineage: Eukaryota; Viridiplantae; Streptophyta; Magnoliopsida; Poales; Poaceae
Description: long non-coding RNA (TAES_LNC012133)
Source: RNAcentral
GAUGAUGUUGUGGAGAGGGCCACCGAGAGGGGGUUUGCAUUGCCAAAGUCGAAGGUGGCCAUUGCCUUGACCUGCCUGGACCUCUUGACCUUUAACAACGCUCAAACAGGAAACACAUGUUGGAGGAGGAGACCACAAGCUAAUUGUAAGCAUCAACUAUUUGUUAGCUAUCAAUCUUGUCCUUUGAGCAUAUAUACUUUAUUUCUUAAACCAUUAUGCAUGAGCAUUUUAGGAUGAUUUGGAUGAGUGGAUCAGAGGACGACAUGAGCAGGUAUUUCCAUUUGAUCAUAUACCCAAAAUGAUAAUGUAUACACUAACUUAAGAUGAUGGCUCUUCUACUCUGCUAAUAUAACAUGCAUGUGCUUGUGUGGAGUGCCUCCAAAAUGAAUAGC